Varanus komodoensis (Komodo dragon) is the source of this 752-nucleotide long non-coding RNA. RefSeq lists it as uncharacterized. The record is from RefSeq and is a predicted model, not a curated record. NCBI's taxonomy places the organism in Eukaryota, Metazoa, Chordata, Lepidosauria, Squamata, Varanidae. The transcript is spliced from 4 exons.
UUCAAAAGGUGAAGCCUAAAUCACCUGGUGCAGCAGCAGCAUCGAUUUCAUUCCUACACUGCCCCACAGCCAGAGACCACAAUUAACAGAGGUGAGGCCAUUGUUAGCAAUCGCACCUCUCUCCACUCCUCCUGCCUGAAGGCUGCCAGCUUUGCCCAUCCGGGACAGACAGCCCGACCUCACGCAGGAGCUUUGCCACAUCCAAGGGGAACCGGGAUUUGCUCCAAAUCGUGCCAAACACCAGUAGCCGCUCACACCACUGGCUGAAUCCUGUGCAGCAGCGGGACAUCCAUCACUGUCAGUGAGCGUAGCCGAGGAGGAGAGACAGAGAGGCGGUUACAAGCGGUACUCAUGGUGCUCGGAGAUUCUCACAGCUGUUCUGCUCUCAAUCUGUCAGAAGGUCAUCUGACAAGAGCAAACAACGCCAUGGAUGGAUCUUUGCCCAAGAAAGGAGCUGACCAGUAGUUUCCCUCUUUGUGACAAGACCCUCUAGGUGUUCUGCAUGAACCUGAAGGCACGAGUUAUAUUGCGAGCUCGGACAUCUGAGGACUGUAAUCUCUGGCUGUUCUCCAGCCUGUGCUCAGUCCAGAGGUGAGAUUACACUGCAAGCUUGGACAAAGGUUUGCAUUCCAGUUUCAGAGGAGGAAACCGGGCAACUUCAGCUCUAAAGCAAACUGAAAUGGAUUUUGCAUACAUCACUCUUACAGGUGUGCUGAAGACACAAUCCAUCAUUUGGUGAAUGGAGUUCACAC